UUUCAGUUUUAUUUUACCAUUAUUUCUGAAAAUUAAACCCUAAUGAUAGCCUUAUCUAUAUAAACCCUCAAGCCCUCCAAACUCCCGUGUUACAUUGACCUUCAAAAAAAAAAAAACUUCAUCUUCUCCUUCUGCCGCCAUCACCAUCUCCCCACCUUCAGCCAUCUUUUCUGGUUGGUAAAGGUACUUGGCUACGAGUGAGGGGACGCUUAGAAUAAUCACCUAGUCAAGGGACAAUUUCUAUUUUAGUUUAAGUUGAAUUUUGUUAUUUAUUUUAUGCGGAUUAAUUGGUUGUAAUAUUUUAUUGGCCACCUUUUAGACCACUUAGUUAAUUUUGACUUUAAUGGUUUUAAAUGGUUUUGUUGCUUUGCAUUUAUUUUCUAUGGAUAAUAAAUGUAGCAGUGACACUCCCAAGGUUUGGACGAUCGAUUUAUUAAAUAAAAACAGGGAUUUUGAUUAUAUAAAA
Long non-coding RNA from Spinacia oleracea (spinach), 466 nucleotides. RefSeq lists it as uncharacterized. The transcript is spliced from 2 exons. The record is from RefSeq and is a predicted model, not a curated record. Lineage: Eukaryota; Viridiplantae; Streptophyta; Magnoliopsida; Caryophyllales; Amaranthaceae.